GUCCUUGUAGUGCAAUGGAUAGCGCUUUGGACUUCUAAUCCAAAGGUCGUGGGUUAGAAUUCCACCUGGGAUG
Molecule: transfer RNA, 73 nt
Filed under: Trichonephila inaurata madagascariensis
Lineage: Eukaryota; Metazoa; Arthropoda; Arachnida; Araneae; Nephilidae
Rfam family: tRNA
About the family: Transfer RNA (tRNA) molecules are approximately 80 nucleotides in length.
Source: Rfam by way of RNAcentral